UGCAUGAACUAAGCCAUGCGAGUCAUUGUAGCAAUACAAGGCAGACGGCUCAGUAACGCGUAGUCAACCUAACCUAUGGACGGGAAUAACCUCGGGAAACUGAGAAUAAUGCCCGAUAGAACACUAUAUCUGGAAUGGUUUGUGUUCCAAAUGAUUUAUCGCCAUAGGAUGGGACUGCGGCCUAUCAGUUUGUUGGUGAGGUAAUGGCCCACCAAGACUAUUACAGGUACGGGCUCUGAGAGGAGUAGCCCGGAGAUGGGUACUGAGACACGGACCCAGGCCCUAUGGGGCGCAGCAGGCGAGAAAACUUUGCAAUGUGCGAAAGCACGACAAGGUUAAUCCGAGUGGUUUCUGCUAAAGGAACCUUUUGUCGGUCCUAGAAACACCGAUGAAUAAGGGGUGGGCAAGUUCUGGUGUCAGCCGCCGCGGUAAAACCAGCACCUCAAGUGGUCAGGAUGAUUAUUGGGCCUAAAGCAUCCGUAGCCGGCUCUGUAAGUUUUCGGUUAAAUCUGUACGCUCAACGUACAGGCUGCCGGGAAUACUGUAGAGCUAGGGAGUGGGAGAGGUAGACGGUACUCGGUAGGAAGGGGUAAAAUCCUUUGAUCUAUUGAUGACCACCUGUGGCGAAGGCGGUCUACCAGAACACGUCCGACGGUGAGGGAUGAAAGCUGGGGGAGCAAACCGGAUUAGAUACCCGGGUAGUCCCAGCUGUAAACUAUGCAAACUCAGUGAUGCAUUGGCUUGUGGCCAAUGCAGUGCUGCAGGGAAGCCGUUAAGUUUGCCGCCUGGGAAGUACGUACGCAAGUAUGAAACUUAAAGGAAUUGGCGGGGGAGCACCACAAGGGGUGAAGCCUGCGGUUCAAUUGGAGUCAACGCCGGG
Molecule: ribosomal RNA, 880 nt
Filed under: uncultured archaeon
Lineage: Archaea
Description: bacterial SSU rRNA
Rfam family: Archaeal small subunit ribosomal RNA
Source: RNAcentral